This 253-nucleotide ribosomal RNA is filed under the name uncultured bacterium. Its description in RNAcentral is "partial 16S ribosomal RNA". It matches the Rfam family "Bacterial small subunit ribosomal RNA", at positions 524 to 776 of the family's 1533-position model. The record is from RNAcentral.
AACGUAGGGGACAAGCGUUGUUCGGAAUUACUGGGCGUAAAGCGCGCGUAGGCGGCUUUGUAAGUUAGAGGUGAAAGCCCGGGGCUCAACUCCGGAAUUGCCUUUAAGACUGCAUCGCUAGAAUCGUGGAGAGGUAAGUGGAAUUCCGAGUGUAGAGGUGAAAUUCGUAGAUAUUCGGAAGAACACCAGUGGCGAAGGCGACUUACUGGACACGUAUUGACGCUGAGGUGCGAAAGCGUGGGGAGCAAACAGG